Molecule: long non-coding RNA, 644 nt
Filed under: Pseudonaja textilis
Lineage: Eukaryota; Metazoa; Chordata; Lepidosauria; Squamata; Elapidae
Description: lncRNA (ENSPTXG00000008419.1)
Source: RNAcentral
GUCAGGACUUAGAAGCUCCUCUGGAGUAUUCUCUCAGCUCAUUACUGACUCUUGUGGACUGGUAGAAACUAGAAGACGUGGAUUCCAUAGAGCAACAAAAAGCUAAGUGGCUUAGACUUCUGUUGCUUUCUCAUCAAGAAUAUCCUUCAAGUAAAUAGCCAAUCAGGGAAUGUUACCUCCAGGCUGAGCAUUAGGAAGAGAACAAGAAGGACACAGCAGAGGGACCGGAAGCCAAGAGGGAAUGGCAUUUCAGGAGGACUAUGAAUCUGGGAUUAAGGAGAAACUUGAUUUGGAGGCGUAUGGAGACUCUUCAUUGAAGCAGUCUAACAUGUCACUUGCAAGUGAAGACAUUCACCAGAUGAACAUUUGCCAGCAUAUCUGUACAUCGUUCAGUCAGUACUUCUGGCCUGGUCACCAGGGAAUCUAUCACCUGAGUAAAAGAAGGAGGGUGGAGAGGGUAUCCAUGGGGAAAGCAGGAUCCUAUCAGAGGCAUGUGGACGCAAGUGAGUGUGUGCAGUGGCAUCUUCAGUGGCCUGGCAGAGGCUCAGCUGCAAACCAGGAAUUUCCCUUCUGAAACUUUCUUCCACCACAAGUUCACUCACUAGGCAGCUUUAGACAAUUCAUUCUUAGACUGAAUUUCCCAC